Molecule: ribosomal RNA, 440 nt
Filed under: uncultured bacterium
Lineage: Bacteria
Description: partial 16S ribosomal RNA
Rfam family: Bacterial small subunit ribosomal RNA
Source: RNAcentral
CCUACGGGAGGCAGCAGUGAGGGAUAUUGCACAAUGGGGGAAACCCUGAUGCAGCAACGCCGCGUGAGUGAAGAAGUUCUUCGGAUUGUAAACUUUUAUCUUGUGGGAAGAUAAUGACGGUACCUCAGUAAGAAGCUCCGGCUAACUACGUGCCAGCAGCCGCGGUAAUACGUAGGGAGCGAGCGUUGUCCGGAUUUACUGGGUGUAAAGGGUGCGUAGACGGCUAGGCAAGUCAGGUGUGAAAUACCGCGGCUCAACUGCGGGGCUGCACUUGAAACUGUAGAGCUUGAGUGAAGGAGAGGUAAGCGGAAUUCCUAGUGUAGCGGUAAAAUGCGUAGAUAUUAGGAGGAACACCAGUGGCGAAGGCGGCUUACUGGACAUUAACUGACGCUGAGGCACGAAAGCGUGGGGAGCAAACAGGAUUAGAUACCCCUGUAGUC